GGCCAGUUAGCUCAGUUGGUUAGAGCGUGGUGCUAGUAAUACCAAGGUUGCCAGUUCAAUCCUGGCAUGGGCCA
Non-coding RNA from Rhinolophus ferrumequinum (greater horseshoe bat), 74 nucleotides. NCBI's taxonomy places the organism in Eukaryota, Metazoa, Chordata, Mammalia, Chiroptera, Rhinolophidae. The record is from the annotation of a RefSeq genome assembly.